This 444-nucleotide ribosomal RNA is filed under the name uncultured bacterium. RNAcentral describes it as "partial 16S ribosomal RNA". It matches the Rfam family "Bacterial small subunit ribosomal RNA", at positions 338 to 795 of the family's 1533-position model. The record is from RNAcentral.
CCUACGGGUGGCAGCAGUGAGGAAUAUUGGUCAAUGGCCGUAGGGCUGAACCAGCCAAGUCGCGUGAAGGAAGAAGGAUCUAUGGUUUGUAAACUUCUUUUGUCAGGGACGAAGCAAGUGACGGUACCUGACGAAUAAGCCACGGCUAACUACGUGCCAGCAGCCGCGGUAAUACGUAGGUGGCAAGCGUUAUCCGGAUUUACUGGGUGUAAAGGGCGUGUAGGCGGGGAAGCAAGUCAGAUGUGAAAACCACGGGCUCAACCUGUGGCCUGCAUUUGAAACUGUUUUUCUUGAGUGCUGGAGAGGCAAUCGGAAUUCCGUGUGUAGCGGUGAAAUGCGUAGAUAUACGGAGGAACACCAGUGGCGAAGGCGGAUUGCUGGACAGUAACUGACGCUGAGGCGCGAAAGCGUGGGGAGCAAACAGGAUUAGAUACCCUUGUAGUC